RNAcentral lists this ribosomal RNA (675 nucleotides) under uncultured archaeon. Its description in RNAcentral is "bacterial SSU rRNA". It matches the Rfam family "Archaeal small subunit ribosomal RNA", at positions 322 to 999 of the family's 1478-position model. The record is from RNAcentral.
CCCUCGGGGUGCAGCAGGCGCGAAACCUCCUCAAUGCACUAACGUGCGAAGGGGUUACCUCGAGUGCUAUCUGAAGAAGGUGGCUUUUCCAUGGUCUAAAAAGCCUAGGGAAUAAGAGGGGGGCAAGACUGGUGUCAGCCGCCGCGGUAACACCAGCCCCUCGAGUGGUGGGGAUGAUUAUUUGGCCUAAAGCGUCCGUAGCUUGCCAGAAAAGUUUCCCGUUAAAUCCGACGUCUCAAGCGUUGGACCGCGGGAAAUACUGUCUGGCUAGAGAGUGGGAGAGGUUAGCGGUAUUCUGGGGGUAGGGGCGAAAUCCUUUGAUCCCCGGAGGACCACCAGUGGCGAAGGCUGCUAACUAGAACACGUCUGACGGUCAGGGACGAAAGCUGGGGUAGCGAACCGGAUUAGAUACCCGGGUAGUCCCAGCCGUAAACGAUGCAUGCUAGGUGUUGGGUUGGCCACGAGCCACCCCAGUGCCGCAGGGAAGCCGUUAAGCAUGCCGCCUGGGAAGUACGAUCGCAAGGUUGAAACUUAAAGGAAUUGGCGGGGGAGCACCACCAGGCGUGAAGCCUGCGGUUUAAUUGGAGUCAACGCCGGGAACCUUACCGGAAGCGACAGCAGAGUGAAGGCCAGAUUGAAGAUCUUACCAGACGAGCUGAGAGGAAGUGCAUGGCC